RNAcentral lists this ribosomal RNA (502 nucleotides) under uncultured Sphingobacteriales bacterium. RNAcentral's name for it is "bacterial SSU rRNA". It matches the Rfam family "Bacterial small subunit ribosomal RNA", at positions 903 to 1382 of the family's 1533-position model. Lineage: Bacteria; Pseudomonadati; Bacteroidota; Sphingobacteriia; Sphingobacteriales. The record is from RNAcentral.
GCCAGCCCGCUCAAGAAACUACGAAAGGAAGUUGACGGGGCCCGCACAAGCGGAGGAGCAUGUGGUUUAAUUCGAUGAUACGCGAGGAACCUUACCUGGGCUCGAACGUAAGAUGACUGUAGGUGAAAGCUUACAUCUCUUCGGAGCAUUUUACGAGGUGCUGCAUGGUUGUCGUCAGCUCGUGCCGUGAGGUGUCGGGUUAAGUCCCAUAACGAGCGCAACCCCUACCUUUAGUUGCCAUCAGGUUAAGCUGGGGACUCUAAAGGAACUGCCUACGCAAGUAGUGAGGAAGGCGGGGAUGACGUCAAAUCAGCACGGCCCUUACGUCCAGGGCUACACACGUGCUACAAUGGCCGAUACAGAGGGCAGCUACCUGGUGACAGGAUGCAAAUCUCCAAAGUCGGUCUCAGUUCGGAUCGGAGUCUGCAACCCGACUCCGUGAAGUUGGAUUCGCUAGUAAUCGCGCAUCAGCCAUGGCGCGGUGAAUACGUUCCCGGGCCUU